RNAcentral lists this ribosomal RNA (558 nucleotides) under Aureobasidium proteae. RNAcentral's name for it is "eukaryotic LSU rRNA". It matches the Rfam family "Eukaryotic large subunit ribosomal RNA", at positions 69 to 642 of the family's 3401-position model. Lineage: Eukaryota; Fungi; Ascomycota; Dothideomycetes; Dothideales; Saccotheciaceae. The record is from RNAcentral.
CAGGGAUUGCCCUAGUAACGGCGAGUGAAGCGGCAACAGCUCAAAUUUGAAAGCUAGCCUUCGGGUUCGCAUUGUAAUUUGUAGAGGAUGAUUUGGGGAAGCCGCCUGUCUAAGUUCCUUGGAACAGGACGUCAUAGAGGGUGAGAAUCCCGUAUGUGACAGGAAAUGGCACCCUAUGUAAAUCUCCUUCGACGAGUCGAGUUGUUUGGGAAUGCAGCUCUAAAUGGGAGGUAAAUUUCUUCUAAAGCUAAAUAUUGGCGAGAGACCGAUAGCGCACAAGUAGAGUGAUCGAAAGAUGAAAAGCACUUUGGAAAGAGAGUUAAAAAGCACGUGAAAUUGUUGAAAGGGAAGCGCUUGCAAUCAGACUUGUUUAAACUGUUCGGCCGGUCUUCUGACCGGUUUACUCAGUUUGGACAGGCCAGCAUCAGUUUCGGCGGCCGGAUAAAGGCUCUGGGAAUGUGGCCUCCACUUCGGUGGAGGUGUUAUAGCCCAGGGUGUAAUACGGCCAGCCGGGACUGAGGUCCGCGCUUCGGCUAGGAUGCUGGCGUAAUGGUUGUA